This 468-nucleotide ribosomal RNA is filed under the name uncultured bacterium. RNAcentral describes it as "partial 16S ribosomal RNA". It matches the Rfam family "Bacterial small subunit ribosomal RNA", at positions 28 to 507 of the family's 1533-position model. The record is from RNAcentral.
GACGAACGCUGGCGGCGUGCUUAACACAUGCAAGUCGAACGGAACGGCCCUGCCUUGUUGGGGUGCUCGACGGGCGAACGGGUGAGUAACACGUGAGUUCCCUGUCCCUGACUUUGGUAUAACCUCAGGAAACUUGGGCUCAUACCGGAUAGGAGCUCCUGCUGCAUGGUGGGGGUUGGAAAGUUUCGGCGGUUGGGGAUGGACUCGCGUCUUAUCAGCUUGUUGGUGGGGUAGUGGCUUACCAAGGCCUUGACGGGUAGCCGGCCUGAGAGGGUGACCGGCCAAAUUGGGACUGAGAUGCGGCCCAGACUCCUACGGGAGGCAGCAGUGGGGAAUAGUGCACAAUGGGCGGAAGCCUGAUGCAGCAACGCCGCGUGCGGGAUGACGGCCUUCGGGUUGUAAACCGCUUUCGCCUGUGACGAAGCGUGAGUGACGGUAAUGGGUAAAGAAGCACCGGCUAACUACGUG